GAGUUCAAGAGUACGUGAAACUGCUUAGAGGUUAAGCCCGAUGAACCUGAAUAUCCGUUAUGGAAAAUUCAUCACUAAUCCUAUGAUAUUUAUCAUAUUAUAGAAAUGGUGUGCAAUUUUUCCAUAUAAGGACAUUGUAAUAUGUUAAUGUAUUAAAUACUUAUCAAAAGAUCUAUUAAUUUUAGUUUAUUCAAAUUAGUUAUUUUCGGAUUUCUAACAUAAAAUAAAUAUAAUAGAUUUGAUAAAUCAUUGACAUAUUUCAUUAUAUAUAGUGCUUAAAUUUUUCGAAAUUUUACAAUGAUAUAUAAAUCUGUUGAUUUAUUUAUUUAUAUUGUAUGCGCUUAUAUGAUUAACAAUGCGAUAGAUUCAGGAUACCUUCGGGACCCGUCUUGAAACACGGACCAAGGAGUCUAACAUAUGUGCAAAUCAUUGGGUAUUUUUAAUAAAACCCAAAGGUGUAAUUAACUUAACUGUUUAAAUGGGAUUAGUUUAUAUUUUAUUAUGAAAUAUAAAUUCAAUCCCGGGGCGUUCUAUACAGUUAUGCAUAAUGAUAUUUAUAUUAUUUAUGCCUCUUACUAGAGC
This 582-nucleotide ribosomal RNA is filed under the name Hammerschmidtia ferruginea (aspen hoverfly). Its description in RNAcentral is "eukaryotic LSU rRNA". Lineage: Eukaryota; Metazoa; Arthropoda; Insecta; Diptera; Syrphidae. The record is from RNAcentral.